Molecule: ribosomal RNA, 1491 nt
Filed under: uncultured bacterium
Lineage: Bacteria
Description: bacterial SSU rRNA
Rfam family: Bacterial small subunit ribosomal RNA
Source: RNAcentral
GAGAGUUUGAUCCUGGCUCAGGAUGAACGCUAGCUACAGGCUUAACACAUGCAAGUCGAGGGGCAGCAUGGUCUUAGCUUGCUAAGGCCGAUGGCGACCGGCGCACGGGUGAGUAACACGUAUCCAACCUGCCGUCUACUCUUGGACAGCCUUCUGAAAGGAAGAUUAAUACAAGAUGGCAUCAUGAGUCCACAUGUUCACAUGAUUAAAGGUAUUCCGGUAGACGAUGGGGAUGCGUUCCAUUAGAUAGUAGGCGGGGUAACGGCCCACCUAGUCUUCGAUGGAUAGGGGUUCUGAGAGGAAGGUCCCCCACAUUGGAACUGAGACACGGUCCAAACUCCUACGGGAGGCAGCAGUGAGGAAUAUUGGUCAAUGGGCGAGAGCCUGAACCAGCCAAGUAGCGUGAAGGAUGACUGCCCUAUGGGUUGUAAACUUCUUUUAUAAAGGAAUAAAGUCGGGUAUGCAUACCCGUUUGCAUGUACUUUAUGAAUAAGGAUCGGCUAACUCCGUGCCAGCAGCCGCGGUAAUACGGAGGAUCCGAGCGUUAUCCGGAUUUAUUGGGUUUAAAGGGAGCGUAGAUGGAUGUUUAAGUCAGUUGUGAAAGUUUGCGGCUCAACCGUAAAAUUGCAGUUGAUACUGGAUGUCUUGAGUGCAGUUGAGGCAGGCGGAAUUCGUGGUGUAGCGGUGAAAUGCUUAGAUAUCACGAAGAACUCCGAUUGCGAAGGCAGCCUGCUAAGCUGCAACUGACAUUGAGGCUCGAAAGUGUGGGUAUCAAACAGGAUUAGAUACCCUGGUAGUCCACACGGUAAACGAUGAAUACUCGCUGUUUGCGAUAUACUGCAAGCGGCCAAGCGAAAGCGUUAAGUAUUCCACCUGGGGAGUACGCCGGCAACGGUGAAACUCAAAGGAAUUGACGGGGGCCCGCACAAGCGGAGGAACAUGUGGUUUAAUUCGAUGAUACGCGAGGAACCUUACCCGGGCUUAAAUUGCAGAUGAAUUACGGUGAAAGCCGUAAGCCGCAAGGCAUCUGUGAAGGUGCUGCAUGGUUGUCGUCAGCUCGUGCCGUGAGGUGUCGGCUUAAGUGCCAUAACGAGCGCAACCCUUGUUGUCAGUUACUAACAGGUUCUGCUGAGGACUCUGACAAGACUGCCAUCGUAAGAUGUGAGGAAGGUGGGGAUGACGUCAAAUCAGCACGGCCCUUACGUCCGGGGCUACACACGUGUUACAAUGGGGGGUACAGAGGGCCGCUACCACGCGAGUGGAUGCCAAUCCCAAAAACCUCUCUCAGUUCGGACUGGAGUCUGCAACCCGACUCCACGAAGCUGGAUUCGCUAGUAAUCGCGCAUCAGCCACGGCGCGGUGAAUACGUCCCCGGGCCUUGUACACACCGCCCGUCAAGCCAUGGGAGCCGGGGGUACCUGAAGUGCGUAACCGCGAGGAGCGCCCUAGGGUAAAACUGGUGACUGGGGCUAAGUCGUAACAAGGUAGCCG